UCCGAACACACACACGCUGAACUUUUACCUGUUUUUAUGCCGAGUCUUUAGCAAGUUUCUUCCAAAGGGAGCCAUGGUCCGCCAGGCCAGCGAACAGCGAGGGUACCUUCAAGUUCUCGGGAUUCAGAAGAGAAAAU
This is a long non-coding RNA of Cervus elaphus (red deer), 137 nucleotides long. RefSeq lists it as uncharacterized. NCBI's taxonomy places the organism in Eukaryota, Metazoa, Chordata, Mammalia, Artiodactyla, Cervidae. The transcript is spliced from 3 exons. The record is from RefSeq and is a predicted model, not a curated record.